AGGACGAACGCUGGCGGCGUGCUUAACACAUGCAAGUCGAGCGGAAAGGCCCUUCGGGGUACUCGAGCGGCGAACGGGUGAGUAACACGUGAGUAAUCUGCCCCUAGCUCUGGGAUAGCUCCGGGAAACCGGGAUUAAUACCAGAUACGACCACUUUAGACAUCUCUUGUGGUGGAAAGAUUUAUCGGCCAGGGAUGGGCUCGCGGCCUAUCAGCUUGUUGGUGGGUAACGGCCUACCAAGGCGACGACGGGUA
RNAcentral lists this ribosomal RNA (254 nucleotides) under uncultured bacterium. Its description in RNAcentral is "partial small subunit ribosomal RNA". It matches the Rfam family "Bacterial small subunit ribosomal RNA", at positions 26 to 285 of the family's 1533-position model. The record is from RNAcentral.